CCGAGUCGUAUCGGCAUUCCAAUUCCAUAGUUCGAAACCCAGGGGAAGCCGGUCGAAAUCCGGCGCUGACCCGCAACCGUAGGCGGUGGCCGCAAGGCCGCCGCGAGUCGGAAUACCUGGGUGCGUACGAGUUUUGUC
RNAcentral lists this non-coding RNA (138 nucleotides) under Embleya scabrispora. The record is from RNAcentral. Lineage: Bacteria; Bacillati; Actinomycetota; Actinomycetes; Kitasatosporales; Streptomycetaceae.